UACAGAGGUGGCAAGCGUUGUUCGGAAUUACUGGGCGUAAAGGGCGCGUAGGCGGUCUCGUAAGUCCUGUGUGAAAUCCCCCGGCUCAACUGGGGAACUGCACAGGAAACUGCGAGACUUGAGUUCGGGAGAGGGAAGCGGAAUUCCGGGUGUAGCGGUGAAAUGCGUAGAUAUCCGGAGGAACACCGGUGGCGAAGGCGGCUUCCUGGACCGACACUGACGCUGAGGCGCGAAAGCUAGGGGAGCAAACGGG
RNAcentral lists this ribosomal RNA (253 nucleotides) under uncultured bacterium. Its description in RNAcentral is "partial 16S ribosomal RNA". It matches the Rfam family "Bacterial small subunit ribosomal RNA", at positions 524 to 776 of the family's 1533-position model. The record is from RNAcentral.